GGGAUGAGUGGUACCCGAGGACGCAGGGAUGAGGAGUGGCACCCAAGAACAUGAUGGUGAUCAUGCCAAAUCUGAUAUGCAGCAGCUAACCCACCUACGUGACCAUCGUGUGAUGUAUUCGUUUCCUUUGUCCUGUUUACUCGACCUGCGACGAUUUCGUUGCUGACAUCUGAAAUGGGCCCUUUCCCCUUCCUCCUUCCCCCCCCCCCCCGCCCCCCAACGAGCUAUAAUUUUUGCCGACGAGCGUUCGUGACCCCUAAACCAGCCGACGGCAGAGGCGGGCGCGGAGCUGCGCGGGUGCGGAGCGGCCGGGCGGGCGCGGAACCCCCGCGGGGCGGCGGGUCCGGGCCCGGGGAGCUGGUGCCAUCUGCAGGAAGGUUUCGGUUG
Molecule: long non-coding RNA, 387 nt
Organism: Harpia harpyja (harpy eagle)
Lineage: Eukaryota; Metazoa; Chordata; Aves; Accipitriformes; Accipitridae
Exons: 3
Source: RefSeq, a predicted model, not a curated record